UCCAGCACUGUAACUUUCAAGGGCAUUUUUUGUGAAUGGAUUUUCAUGCGUCACGUUUCGAGAACUUGUUUCUUCUUCUUCUUUUUUUGAAAAACUAAAAAUUUAAAAAAAAAAGUGAUGUGCGAGUGCUGAGGUAAGCAAAUUAUCUGGAAUCACGGUGAUGUUGACGUGGCAUUCAUUCGAGUUUUUUAAAAAGACCCAUGAACACUAUGUAGCUUUGGGUGAAAGAGCUGUUAUCGUCUAGUUACGGUAAAUAUUGAUCAUCCUAAACAAUAAUGUAUAACCCUCGCUAAUACAAAAUAGUUCUUACGAGUCUUCCGAAAACUGCGAUUUUGAUUAUUAGUGACACUUCUGCUCUGGCCCAUUCACCGCGGAGAAUGAAACUAUUGUAUUAGUGUUUGAUUAGAUGUCGGUUGCAGGUCUGCUAUAAAUUACUGCGCAGUGCAAAAGUUAAUUGUACACAAGUUAGAUGCUUUUGGGCGUAAUAUUAGCCGUCACCGCAUGGUUUGAUCUUCUGGGUGAAGCCAGCGCUAGAAAAUACUACUACCUCGACAUUCUGGAGGAUAAACAAUUGGAUCGCGAUUAUAUCAGGAGAACCGGAGAAGUUUUUGUUUCCGAUGCGCCUGCCCGAUUAUACAUGUGCACGAAUACACAUAUGGACGGCACGGCCGUCAUCUGGUGCAAAUCGUUGAACCGGACGGAAGAAGAGCAUGCGCUCAACUCGGCGACGUUCUUCAGCGCCUACAGACCGUUGGCGGAGACGCCCCUGUGGCUCGACGAGGUGGAGUACCCGACGCUGCCCCUCCUCAUGUCCGUGGGCUUCCCGCCGCGCCACCCAGAGUGGCCGAGCUUCCAGACCUCCACUCGGGACAGGGAGGUCGAACGAGUCAUCCAGGUCUGUAGGAGCAAAGGGUGUCUCCCGGACCAAGAGGAAGACAUCAAGGAUCUCCUGGACUACGUCAAGUGUAAUAAUGUUGGCGAGUGUGUCAUCGAUAAAAACCGGCACAUCAUAGACACCACCUUGCAGGUUUUGCAAGCGGCCCUCGAGUGGAUCAACGGCGUCUAUUACAAGAACUACAGUCCUCGGGCCAGAGUCAAGAAAUUCGUGAUGAAACGGCUGCCAAGUUAUAUAACGAAAAGUUCAUUGUGGAAAAAAGUCGGUUGGGCCUCCAGUCCGCGUCGUGAGAGAUCAACAUCAACACCCGACAGUAUUCCAAUAUCUUCCGAGCUAAAAGCCAUCAGCAAACUCAUGGUCAACAAACUGCUUGACCCUUGCACCUUCAAGAGAUACGUUAAGGGAGAGGAGCAAUGGAACGAGAAAUAUCGGAUCGACCGAAACUGCAGAAUCUACUGCCAAUUUCUGGGAGUCGCCGUGGAGAUAUUUGUACCGACCUCGGUGCCCUCCCCUCUCGUGUACUGCUCCCAUCUGAUUGAUGGGAAAUGCAAUCACAGAAAUGUGUGUGUCUGCGAGCGACGAAUUCCGACACCGAUUCGACGGUACAGACCUGAGAUUAACAUGCUUUACUGCGACAACAUGCUCCGACGGAAAUUGAGCAAGAUCGAGUUGCCGAUUCAGAGGCCGCCUCCGCCCAAGUAUACGCCUUCACCGCCGCCCAAGUAUACGCCCACGCCUUCGCCCAGGUAUACGCCCACACCUUCGCCCAAGUAUACGCCUACACCGCCGCCAAAGUAUACGCCCACACCUUCGCCAAAGUAUACGCCCACACCUUCGCCCAAGUAUACACCUUCACCGCCGCCCAAGUAUACGCCUGCACCGCCGCCCAGCCCGGCCCUCAGACAGGCUCCACAAGUAUACUCUGGAUCUGAAUCUGGAUCUGAUUCCGAAUCUGAUGCUGGAUCUGAAUCGGACGCGUCUCAAGGCUCGCCGGUAGAAAAAGAUGAAUUUUUAUUGAGGCUAAAAAGGGCCUUUCCUUCUGGAAAUAUAGAUAUUUAAAAUUCAUUCGACCAAAACACCGAACUUCCUUUCUAAGCUAAUACUGCCGUGCUGAGGAAGAACGCCGUAUGAACAUUCGAGAGUUGCCAAAUUUAUCCGAGUAAAACAUGUAUUUUUGAAGAAAGUUAUGCGUAUUUUUCCUUUAAAUUUUCCGAUUUUUUAGAUUAAAUUAAAAACAAAAUUGUCUGAACAAUUGGAAGAAAAAUAUUCAGAAUUUUCCCAGUAACUUUGUUGGUUAUUAAAGGAAAUACGGUAACGCAUUCAGACGCACAUCACAUAAAACGCCUUCAGAAGCUUCAUAACACAUCUGAAAUGAUAAUUGUAUCACAGUAUUUUGAAGGCGAAUUGAAAAGUGUUAGAAAAUGAUACGGACUAGAUCGAUUGCACAGAUCUAUCUACUGACAGUUUUAUUUUAUUAAUUUUGCUGAAAUAAAGGUUGGCUUUUAUCUUGUUAAUCAUGGGGACAAAAUUGCUCCAGAGGCAUAGCUGUCAGCCAUUUACUUCUGAAUAAAUUAUAGUCCAGUCAAUCUGGCCCUACAAAGGGGUCUACUUUGCGAAAAUCUGAGGAGAAAAAAAUAAGACGGAUUCCUAUGUAAUUUUGGUCGCUGAAUCCGAAUCUGCUGUUUGCCAACAAAAAUUUUGGCCGGAAAUGGCCGCCAUCUUGAAAAAAUGGCGGAAAAUCACGUUUUUCCCCCAAAAUCCCCCAAAAUCUCACUUAUUUUAGGGUUUUCGACAAAAUGACUUUCCUUCACUUUAAAAGUACGUCAAAUUUCCUAUCAAACGGCUUUCAGAUUUUUGAAUUCGAACAAUUAGGGUAAAAGUUAUGGGCGAUCGCGUUAUGGGUGGUUUAAUGGGUUGAUGAGUUUUUCGUAAAAUUUGCUGCGUGAAAACGCUGUAACGCCGUUGGAAGUGAAACAAAAAUUCCGAAAAUGGUUUGCAUAUGUCCCUCUUGGUACCAGUGACCCUCCGCCAUGAAAAAAUCGAUUCUGAAAGCAAUAAUUUUUUUUUUUUUCUAUAGGCGGAGAAAAUCUUUUAAAGACUUCAUCUUAGGCAGCUGGGAGCCCAAGAUGGGUGUGUGGGAUUUCCACCUACCAAAAACCCCUCCGCUUUGGGUGAGCGAAUUGAAAAAAAAGCACUGAAUGAAUGUUGUUUUGAAUCCAGAAACAGAUGUAAGGACAUCUUUUUUUUUCAUUGCGCCCAUAGGCACGAGGAAAAGGGUAACCCUGUGAAACACCUCGUCUGCUCCGGUUGGAACAGGAACUACUCUUCUUUCUGUUGAAAAGGAACUUCAAAGAAAGAGACGUGCCAAGUGAAAGGUGGGUGGAAGUCAUUUUGGCAGUCGCACGCAAAUGGAAAAAGAAAACACUAGUCGGAUUUGGUUGAAACUGAUUCGAAGUGAGCUAAAAAGUCACAGACCGGGUUGUGGCACCAUGUCACGUCAGUAGGAUUAGUUGAGUUUUAGACAGACUGAAAACAUCUAAAAAUCAUUGACGCGGCGGAUAACUUAACGGAGUUGUGGGGGAGCAAGAAUUGAACUAAACAGUUGAUUGAACCGAAAAGAUUGUAUUAAAGAAUUUUGAAGAGAUUUACAGUUUAACAAAGAGUUGGAAUGUCACACUGGGAUGUGCCAUAAGGGCGAGAGUGGCACAGCGUACAAGUACGGGUCAAAAUGGUAAAAGGACCAUGAGGAACGGGCAGCAGAAGCUUUUAUAGACUUGAUGACGUCACAGGUGGUGAGACAACAAGCCUACACGCUAUUGGCUGGCUAUUAUCAGUGGAGCCAUCAGUUUCAAGUUGAGUAAUUAAAUGAAUGGGUGAUAAUAGGUGAUGGCUGGGAGAUAGAAGUGAAAAAGACAAACGUGGACGAAAUCCAGCCAUCCCUAAUGAGUAUUCUGAAAGUGAAUGAAAAAUUUAUAAGUUUAAGAAAAGAAAAAGUUGCAGGUAAUUCAGUACCUGUGACAAAAGCGUCGAAAUUGAUUUUUAAGGGUCCAUGCAGAAUAGCAGCGGAAAUUUCAUGGUACGGCACAACGUAGGCGAGAGAAUUCAAUACAGCAAUCAAUUUUUUCGAUCCGAAUUUUUUGCACACAUACGCUGAAACUCCGAUUUGGAUGGGCAAAUUUUAUGACCGAGGUCUGACUGCUGAAAUUGCAGAGUGAGAAAUCGCGAUGACUUUUUUUGGAAACUUCGGUUUAUUCUUAACUUUUUUGUUAUUUUAAAUAAUAGUAUCAAGUAG
RNAcentral lists this long non-coding RNA (4187 nucleotides) under Bemisia tabaci. RNAcentral describes it as "lncRNA ENSASIAIIG011734". Lineage: Eukaryota; Metazoa; Arthropoda; Insecta; Hemiptera; Aleyrodidae. The record is from RNAcentral.